ACUGUGAAACUCCAAGAGGGGAAUAGAAUUUCAGCACAUAUUCUUUCUUUGUAGAAAGCCCUGUGAAGAUCUCAGAGGACAAGAGCGUCCCAGAGAACGCAGUCCAGGAAACAAUGUCUUCCAGGAGGCAUGGAAGGGGUGAAGCUGUCUGGAACCCUGAAGCCUGUUUUUCCCCCUUAGCAGUGUGAUUAGCUGCGCACAGAAGCAGAGCCCGCAUGAGAGGCUGGAGUGAAAGGACCUGCUCUCCCCAUGACACAUGCCUAUAGUACAUGGUGACUGACAGGGCUUUAAGGAUUCCCAGUGGACUGUUAGUAGCCAGGAGGAAGGGAACAGGGAGUUGAUUUCGGGGAAUGGAGUCAGGCCACCAGUAGAUGGAUGGCAGAAGCCAGGCCAGAAAGACACAAGCGCCACGUGGUGAGCCACACGGAUUGAGAGUGACAGUAAGGCAGUCUGGGAAUUAAUGGAAUCUAAGAGAUGGGGGCUCACCUCCGAUUUGAUGAACCGCUUUGUCAGGCUUGCUUAACCUCCGUCUCAAAUCAGUGAGAUUGUAGAGUGUGCAACGGGAGCCUGUCUGAUUUUACUUCUCUUCUUGUUAGGAUGUUACGAUGCAGUCUUUGCCCUCCAGUACGGCCCCUCCCUGCUUGGCACUCCUCCCUCCCCUCCCUGCAGCCUCCUCAUUCAUUCUAAGCUCUGACAGAGAAAUGAUUUGGUUUAGGCUCAUUCUUAUUGUCUUUCUUUGAACAUGUCUGGAUUACUGAUGUCAACAAAUGUCCUCCCCGUGAAUGAGUUGCCCUGAUCAAGGACCUCCUGCGUAGAUAGAUCUGACCCAGCACUUGCAAGAUUCUGGGGAGGGGAGGCAAGCUGCGGCCCGUUAGCUGGAUCCAGAAGGUUUCCUUUGUAUGGCUGUCUAAUUCAAGGAGGAAGAAAAUGGCACCCAAGAAGAGACCAGAAUUACGCAGAGGCGGAAACUGGAUUUCUGUUCUCUAAGGAGGGUAGCAAUUCAACCCAUCAGGGUGGACCCAGUUGGGAGACACAGGAAACUGGGCAUGCGUUCUUGAAAAGACACUGCCCCGGGAAGACCCAGGGCAGAAGCACUGAGUGCAGGCACUGGAGGCAAUCUGAUUUAUUUCCCAGUUAUCUUCUAACAGAUGAAGCAGAGGGAACUCUAGAUCCAUGUUUGCUGAUUUCAAGGGUGAUGGGCUGGGUUGCUAUUUGUGCCAAACUAUGAGACUUACUACCAAAGCUGUUAUAUUUGGCUGGCAUUGUUUCCAUGCGGGGAGGCAAUGAGUGUCUUGAGGUACUCGAGGGCUGACUGGUUAUUACCCCAAUGGUGUCUGGGCCCUACAUUCCCAGCUGUCAAGGUAGCAACUGUUUGUGAGGACUCAGGGGCAGUGUCACCCAGGGAAACAGCUGGCGAGGCUACUGUGUCAGCAAGGUCAUGUACUGAGCUUGACUUUAGGCUGCCCUCACAGUCCAGCCCCACCCUGCUUAGCUCUUAAGCUCCAUUAUCAAGCCUGAACAUACUCGAAAAUCCCUCCUCCCAGAGAUGAAUCGGGUCGGUAAGUAUUAAAGGUUGCUGGAUUUCCAUGGUGCACUCUGAGAAUUUGAGAAGGCCCCAUAUGGUGGAUGUUCUUAAGAUGUCAAUUGUUGUCUCCUAUGAGAUGCAUCAAACACCACUAGGGGUAUAUGGAGAUAUUUAGAUACACAGAUAAUCUGCGGGGAAAAUUGCCUCUUACGGAGUUGACUUGGAGAAGAAAGUCUUGGGGGAAAUUCUAGUGUCUUCUGAACAGCUUUGCUGGCAGCGAUUCACAGACGGUAUCUCGGCCCUGAGGUUUUUAAAUGUAUCCCUAAGACUAGGGAAGCAUCUAAUUUGAUACGUUCAACAUCUAAGAUUCAGAGAAGUUAACGGGCUUUCUCAAGGAUCAUCACGAGUUUAGGGCCUCA
Lutra lutra (Eurasian river otter) is the source of this 1944-nucleotide long non-coding RNA. RefSeq lists it as uncharacterized. The record is from RefSeq and is a predicted model, not a curated record. Lineage: Eukaryota; Metazoa; Chordata; Mammalia; Carnivora; Mustelidae. The transcript has 3 exons.